This 439-nucleotide ribosomal RNA is filed under the name uncultured bacterium. RNAcentral describes it as "partial 16S ribosomal RNA". It matches the Rfam family "Bacterial small subunit ribosomal RNA", at positions 342 to 795 of the family's 1533-position model. The record is from RNAcentral.
CGGGUCGCAGCAGCAGUGGGGAAUAUUGCACAAUGGAGGAAACUCUGAUGCAGCAACGCCACGUGGAGGAUGACACUUUUCGGAGCGUAAACUCCUUUUAUAUAGGAAGAAGAUGACGGUACUAUAUGAAUAAGCGCCGGCUAACUCCGUGCCAGCAGCCGCGGUAAUACGGAGGGCGCAAGCGUUACUCGGAAUCACUGGGCGUAAAGAGCGUGUAGGCGGAUUAAAAAGUCAGAAGUGAAAUCCUAUAGCUUAACUAUAGAACUGCUUCUGAAACUCUUAAUCUAGAAUAUGGGAGAGGUAGAUGGAAUUUCUGGUGUAGGGGUAAAAUCCGUAGAGAUCAGAAGGAAUACCGAUUGCGAAGGCGAUCUACUAGAACAUUAUUGACGCUGAGACGCGAAAGCGUGGGGAGCAAACAGGAUUAGAUACCCCUGUAGUC